UCCCGAUUCCGCCUCCACGCUCCACCAAUCUUGAUCUCCCCGACCCGGCAAGGCCUCCCCGACUCGACAAGGCAAGACCACCAGGAGGUGAGGAGGUCCAAGACCACCAUGGCUUCACACCUCCAUCGGUGACCGGUCCACCCCCCCACCUCCAUCGAUAAGUUUCUUUAUUAUUUUUAUUUUUCGGCACCCCCCCACUCGG
This 202-nucleotide long non-coding RNA is filed under the name Elaeis guineensis (African oil palm). Its description in RNAcentral is "long non-coding RNA (EGUI_LNC000763)". Lineage: Eukaryota; Viridiplantae; Streptophyta; Magnoliopsida; Arecales; Arecaceae. The record is from RNAcentral.